AGGCUUUGUGGUGUAAUUAGCAUAUCAGGCUGCAAACCUGAAGAUGUGGCGAAAGUCACCUCGGCUU
Molecule: transfer RNA, 67 nt
Filed under: Chlorotocus crassicornis
Lineage: Eukaryota; Metazoa; Arthropoda; Malacostraca; Decapoda; Pandalidae
Description: tRNA-Cys
Source: RNAcentral